GCUGCGCUGUGCGCUGCGCAGUUCAUGAGUUCACAUCAAAAUGGCGCUCGCUCACUCGCUGUGCGUAGAACGUAGUACUUGUGUAAACGUGUAAAUAAAUUGGAGAUAGCAUACAAGAAAACAGAAAGGGUUCGCGGUUCACCUUUUUUGUAACGGUUUCCUCGGCGUCCUUUACAAAGUCCAGUUGAUAUCGUGUCCUGUCCACGUCCAGGGUGGAUCAGACCUGAUCUACAAAAUCUUGGAGCAGCCGCUUUCGUCGUAUGCCAUUAAAAAAAUUAAAACAUGCCCGUUAUUAAAAUUUGGUCAGUAGACCAAACAAUCAAGAAAGCUGUUCCAAUAAUGGACCCAACUUUAAAAAAUAUCAUUGAAAAAGGUGAGUAAAUCUAAAUUAAUUUGACUUUUCGUAAUGAAAUAUUUUUUGUGUAAUUGUAGAAUGUAGUGUAUUGUAGAAUAGACUAUAAUUGGAUACCUACUGUUAAGCAUUAAUGUGCUGACUCAAACCACAUUUAUUUUGCAGUAUGAUGUCAAUUUAAAAAUUUGACGCUUGAAGUUGACAAGAUAGAGCUGAUGCUGAACCCUGGCUGUACCUAGUGGAACUCAGGUUUGGUGCAACAUAGGCCCACGCUAUUUUGAUCAUCCGUCACAUAGAGGGAGAGCAAUACCCAAGAUAUAAUUCAUAAUCCAUUUUCUUCCAGAUGAGGUACCAUCCUAAAUAUAGUAGUUCCAUUUACUAAUCUUAUUAACUUUUUCUUUUCCAGGAACCAUUAACCAGGGUUCAAGUUGCAGAGCUAUCCGAAAUAGCUGCGCCUAACAUUGUAUUUUUAGAUAAUGAAAAUAUAAUUAUAUUACUUGCUGGUAGAAAAAACGAUUGUUAGCGAAACAGAUUCUGCCUACGUCGUUACAACUAUUGAUGGCGGCUUACUGCAACUUGAAUAUGGAAUAUCCAGUGGACUGUCAAAACACAUUAGAAUUUAUACAAAGGUAUAUUUUUAUUAAAAUAAAUCCUAAAGAAGGAAGUCAUAAGUAAUAGUUUUUGAUUUUUAAAAAGCGUUUUUCAAUUAAAAGACAUGUCAAGAUCGCUUAACUUCUUGCAAGUUCUUUCUAAUGCUAAAAAAACUAACUAUAAUUAAUGUCAGUAACAAACAUUUUCAGACAAUUCGUUACUUGAAAUGGUAUAGGUUUCACGCAUUAGAUUCACAUAGGCCUUAUUAACCGAAACUUUUAUAAGACUAAUUCAUAAGAAGUACUUAUGUACAUAAGAUAUAAUUUAUAGUGUCGUAUAUGUCUUCUACUUUUUGUACUCUGUCACAGAAUAAAUAAUAAUAAUAUGCACGUAGACGUGUAUAUACGCGUGUGCUCUAUAAUUUGAGUGUGUGAAAUUCAAUAAAUUUAUUUCUUUGUAA
Long non-coding RNA from Cydia fagiglandana, 1403 nucleotides. RefSeq lists it as uncharacterized. The transcript has 4 exons. The record is from RefSeq and is a predicted model, not a curated record. NCBI's taxonomy places the organism in Eukaryota, Metazoa, Arthropoda, Insecta, Lepidoptera, Tortricidae.